UCAGGAGGAGUUUGUUGCGAAGAGUAGUGGAGUGGAACCGUGGCUAUCACCGGGAUGUGCCACGUGGAGUCUGCCGUGGGGAGUGGAGCGGCGUCCGUUGUUGUGACUUAUCAGAGGAUGGAGGAAUUGCACGGUAUCCAUCGCAGGAAGUGGAGCAGGAUCGUGGCCAUUAUUGUGGCCUGCUAGAGAGUGAUUGAGCCGUGCGGAAUCUGUCGUAGGAAGUGGAGCAGUGUCGUGGUCGUUACUGUGGCCUGCUAGGGAGGGAUGGAGCCGCGUGGAAUCUGUU
This 286-nucleotide long non-coding RNA is filed under the name Elaeis guineensis (African oil palm). RNAcentral describes it as "long non-coding RNA (EGUI_LNC062079)". The record is from RNAcentral. Lineage: Eukaryota; Viridiplantae; Streptophyta; Magnoliopsida; Arecales; Arecaceae.